GUGGGGAAUAUUGGACAAUGGGGGAAACCCUGAUCCAGCGACGUCGCGUGGGUGAUGAAGGUCUUAGGAUUGUAAAACCCUUUUAUAAAAGAAGAUAAUGACUGUAUUUUAUGAAUAAGCCCCGGCUAACUACGUGCCAGCAGCCGCGGUAAUACGUAGGGGGCAAGCGUUAUCCGGAUUUACUGGGUGUAAAGGGAGCGUAGACGGAAUGGCAAGUCUGAAGUGAAAUCCUGCGGCUUAACUGCAGAAUUGCUUUGGAAACUGUCAAUCUGGAGUGUUGGAGAGGUAAGCGGAAUUCCUGGUGUAGCGGUGAAAUGCGUAGAUAUCACACAGAACACCGAUUGCGUAGGCAGCUUACUGGAACGCAACUGACGCUGAGGCACGAAAGCGUGGGGAUCGAACAGGAUUAGAAACCCGUGUAGUCC
RNAcentral lists this ribosomal RNA (425 nucleotides) under uncultured bacterium. Its description in RNAcentral is "partial 16S ribosomal RNA". It matches the Rfam family "Bacterial small subunit ribosomal RNA", at positions 354 to 796 of the family's 1533-position model. The record is from RNAcentral.